This 640-nucleotide ribosomal RNA is filed under the name uncultured bacterium. RNAcentral's name for it is "bacterial SSU rRNA". It matches the Rfam family "Bacterial small subunit ribosomal RNA", at positions 202 to 842 of the family's 1533-position model. The record is from RNAcentral.
GAAAGAUUCAUCGGAAGAGGAUUGGCAUGCGGCGCAUUAGCUAGACGGCGGGGUAACGGCCCACCGUGGCGACGAUGCGUAGGGGUUCUGAGAGGAAGGUCCCCCACACUGGUACUGAGACACGGACCAGACUCCUACGGGAGGCAGCAGUGAGGAAUAUUGGUCAAUGGGAGAGAUCCUGAACCAGCCAAGCCGCGUGAGGGAAGACGGCCCUAUGGGUUGUAAACCUCUUUUGUCGGAGAACAAAACCCGGGACGUGUCCCGGACUGCGUGUAUCCGAAGAAAAAGCAUCGGCUAACUCCGUGCCAGCAGCCGCGGUAAUACGGAGGAUGCGAGCGUUAUCCGGAUUUAUUGGGUUUAAAGGGUGCGUAGGCGGUCCGUUAAGUCAGCGGUAAAAUUGCGGGGCUCAACCCCGUCGAGCCGUUGAAACUGGCAGACUUGAGUUGGCGAGAAGUACGCGGAAUGCGCGGUGUAGCGGUGAAAUGCAUAGAUAUCGCGCAGAACUCCGAUUGCGAAGGCAGCGUACCGGCGCCAGACUGACGCUGAGGCACGAAAGCGUGGGGAUCGAACAGGAUUAGAUACCCUGGUAGUCCACGCAGUAAACGAUGAAUGCUGGUUGUCCGGGUCGAAUGAGAUCUGG